AAAAAAACCUUUGGUGAAAACCCUGGCUCGUUUGAAACGCGCGGAUGGUCGGGCCGGAUUCUCCCGGUCCCCCUAUGCCACUCGCGAGCCGUGUUUUUACGAACCCCUGUGUGAACCGUAAUAUUUGUUCCAUCCACGUAAUACGAAAUUUCUAGUCUAAAGUCUUCUUCAUAUCACAAGAAUAUGAUAAAAA
This 193-nucleotide unclassified non-coding RNA is filed under the name uncultured fungus. RNAcentral's name for it is "sequence contains ITS1". Lineage: Eukaryota; Fungi. The record is from RNAcentral.